UAAUUGUUUAGUACAGGUUGGGUGUAUGUGGUGCGACCAGUUGAUGACGGGUAGCACCAUCUGCUGGUUUUGGACUUCCUGAGAGAAAGACAUUAUACGUUAAUAAAUUAUUGCUUCUUGUGAGCAAGGUUAGAAGACAUCACCAUUAUAUGGAUUUGAGAAUACUUGUGUUCCUUGUGGUCCUUGUGGUUUUUGUUUAAGUUGUAGUCUUGCAGUUAUCUCUUCUCGUGUUGACAUAUAUA
Molecule: unclassified non-coding RNA, 242 nt
Filed under: Hevea brasiliensis (rubber tree)
Lineage: Eukaryota; Viridiplantae; Streptophyta; Magnoliopsida; Malpighiales; Euphorbiaceae
Source: RNAcentral